This 241-nucleotide unclassified non-coding RNA is filed under the name Hevea brasiliensis (rubber tree). The record is from RNAcentral. Lineage: Eukaryota; Viridiplantae; Streptophyta; Magnoliopsida; Malpighiales; Euphorbiaceae.
GAGGAGAGAGCAGAUUGGCUAGCUGUUUCGAAUCUGUUUCAAUGAUACAUGGGAAGAAAUUCCUAUUGUGAAUCCACAUGCAUGCUUGACUAAGGGCUUUACCCUUUACUGCCAAAGGAGAAAGGCUAACAGAGGAUGUUGAAACACCAUCAACCACCCUACUCUCAGAAUUGCGACGUAUAAGACCCAUACCUGCAUUUCCUGAACCAUAAUCAAAGGAAGUAUCAAUGUUAAUUUUAAA